RNAcentral lists this ribosomal RNA (474 nucleotides) under uncultured bacterium. RNAcentral describes it as "bacterial SSU rRNA". It matches the Rfam family "Bacterial small subunit ribosomal RNA", at positions 328 to 793 of the family's 1533-position model. The record is from RNAcentral.
CGCUAUCACUCCUACGGGGAGGCAGCAGUAGGGAAUCUUCCACAAUGGGCGCAAGCCUGAUGGAGCAACACCGCGUGAGUGAAGAAGGGUUUCGGCUCGUAAAGCUCUGUUGUUAAAGAAGAACACGUAUGAGAGUAACUGUUCAUACGUUGACGGUAUUUAACCAGAAAGUCACGGCUAACUACGUGCCAGCAGCCGCGGUAAUACGUAGGUGGCAAGCGUUAUCCGGAUUUAUUGGGCGUAAAGAGAGUGCAGGCGGUUUUCUAAGUCUGAUGUGAAAGCCUUCGGCUUAACAGGAGAAGUGCAUCGGAAACUGGAUAACUUGAGUGCAGAAGAGGGUAGUGGAACUCCAUGUGUAGCGGUGGAAUGCGUAGAUAUAUGGAAGAACACCAGUGGCGAAGGCGGCUACCUGGUCUGCAACUGACGCUGAGACUCGAAAGCAUGGGUAGCGAACAGGAUUAGAUACCCUGGUAG